RNAcentral lists this ribosomal RNA (497 nucleotides) under uncultured bacterium. Its description in RNAcentral is "partial 16S ribosomal RNA". It matches the Rfam family "Bacterial small subunit ribosomal RNA", at positions 28 to 507 of the family's 1533-position model. The record is from RNAcentral.
GAUGAACGCUGGCGGCGUGCCUAAUACAUGCAAGUCGAACGAACGGACGAGAAGCUUGUGUCUCUGAUGUUAGCGGCGGACGUGUGAGUAACACGUGUAUAACCUACCUAUAUGACUGGGAUAACUACGGGAAACCGGAUCUAAUACCGGAGAAUAUUUUGAACCGCAUGGUUCAAAAGUGAAAGACGGUGUUGCUGUCUCUAAUAGCUGGAUCCGCGCUGCAUUAGCUAGUUGGUAAGGUAACGGCUUACCAAGGCAACGAUGCAUAGCCGAACUGAGAGGGUGAUCGGCCACACUGGAACUGAGACACGGUCCAGACUCCUACGGGAGGCAGCAGUAGGGAAUCGUCCGCAAUGGGCGAAAGCCUGACGGAGCAACGCCGCGUGAGUGAUGAAGGUCUUCGGAUCGUAAAACUCUGUUAUUAGGGAAGAACAUAUGUGUAAGUAACUGAGCACAUCUUGACGGUACCUAAUCAGAAAGCAACGGCUAACUACGUG